AGCUAGCAUUGAAAAUCACUUUUUCUCUAAGAAGGUUUUGGAGAAUUUUCUCAUAACCAGUAUGUGUGGAUAACCAUCAGAGGCAGGACAUCUAAACGAUUGGUCCUUUGCUAAAACCCGGCCUGGUGUUAAGAAACUCCUCAAGCAAAUUUAAGGAGCUGCACAGAAUAGGAAGCACCUAAUCCUUGGACUGAAAGUCCUCUCAAAAUGGAGGUAAAGAGUGUGCUUGAUCCUUUUGAGGAUGAAAAUAAUGAUAUGGACGGAGAUGAAGUGAGCUUAGGAGCUGAUUCUCUGCAGAAAGACUAUCCUUCUGAAUCUGAUAGUGAGGAAGUUAUCGUAUUCCUCUUAAUUUUAUGCUUUAGCUGCCCCUCAAGGAUUCAACUGAGCUUGGAUAUGAUGUGUAAUACAAUGAUUUAACGUAUUUAUACUAAAUUUCCAAAUUUUUUUUUGUUAAUUUCAGGUUGAUCAAUCGCCAGAAAAUCAAAAUGCAGUUACACCAGUGGAAAAGUAACGACCAGAGGAAGACAAUGACAUGAUUCAUGAAGGUCACAUUUCAAAUUGAAUAGAAUACACAGAACAGUCUUCACAUCAUGAUGAGUCAGGCACACAAAUUUCAGAAGGACAAGAAUAUCAAAUCUUGGGUAGAUAGAAAAACUGAAUUUCUAUUUAUUUCACGGGAGGAAUAUAGAAUAUCCUUUCAAUAUCAUCAUAAUGAAGAAUGCACUCUUCAAGUA
Long non-coding RNA from Hevea brasiliensis (rubber tree), 734 nucleotides. RefSeq lists it as uncharacterized. Lineage: Eukaryota; Viridiplantae; Streptophyta; Magnoliopsida; Malpighiales; Euphorbiaceae. The record is from RefSeq and is a predicted model, not a curated record. The transcript has 4 exons.